AAUGCAUGCAGGUCGAGCGAUGAGGCUCCUUCGGGGGUACAUCAGCGGCAGACGGGUGAGUAACACGUAGGUGACCUACCCUCGAGACGGGGAUAACGGCUGGAAACAGUCGCUAAUACCCGAUAGACUUACCAGGUCAAAGCGGUAAGAAAAGCUACGGUGCUUGAGGAGGGGCCUGCGGCCCAUCAGCUAGUUGGUAGGGUAACGGCCUACCAAGGCGAAGACGGGUAGGGGGUGUGAGAGCACGAGCCCCCACAAUGGGACUGCGACACGGCCCAUACUCCUACGGGAGGCAGCAGCAGGGAAUAUUGCACAAUGGACGGAAGUCUGAUGCAGCGACGCCGCGUUGAGUGAAAGACGGCCUUCGGGUUGUAAAAGCUCUUUUACGGGGGACGAGGAAGGACGGUACCCUGGGAAGAAGUGUCGGCUAACUACGUGCCAGCAGCCGCGGUAAGACGGUAGGACACAAGCGUUAUCCGGAGUUACUGGGCGUAAAAGCGCCUUGCAGGCGGCCUGGUAAGUUGGGACGUGAAAGCCCCGUGCUUAACGCGGGGAGGUCGGACAAUAUUGCCAAGCUAGAGUGCGUCAGGAGGGGAAGUUGGAAUUUCCGGAGUAAGCGGUAAAAUGCGCAGAUAUUCGGAAGGAACACCAGUGGCGAAAGCGAACUCCCUGGGGGCGCGACUGACGCUAAGA
RNAcentral lists this ribosomal RNA (693 nucleotides) under uncultured organism. RNAcentral's name for it is "bacterial SSU rRNA". It matches the Rfam family "Bacterial small subunit ribosomal RNA", at positions 50 to 751 of the family's 1533-position model. The record is from RNAcentral.